RNAcentral lists this small RNA (29 nucleotides) under Bombyx mori (domestic silkworm). Its description in RNAcentral is "ovarian small RNA-16643". The record is from RNAcentral. Lineage: Eukaryota; Metazoa; Arthropoda; Insecta; Lepidoptera; Bombycidae.
GCCCCACGUGGCGUCCAUCUGGGGGGGCU